UACAGAGGGGGCAAGCGUUGUCCGGAAUUAUUGGGCGUAAAGAGCGUGUAGGCGGUCCGGUAAGUCAGCUGUGAAAGUCAAGGGCUCAACCCUUGAAUGCCGGUUGAUACUGUCGGGCUAGAGUCCGGAAGAGGCGAGUGGAAUUCCCGGUGUAGCGGUGAAAUGCGCAGAUAUCGGGAGGAACACCAAUGGCGAAGGCAGCUCGCUGGGACGGUACUGACGCUGAGACGCGAAAGCGUGGGGAGCAAACAGG
This 253-nucleotide ribosomal RNA is filed under the name uncultured bacterium. Its description in RNAcentral is "partial 16S ribosomal RNA". It matches the Rfam family "Bacterial small subunit ribosomal RNA", at positions 524 to 776 of the family's 1533-position model. The record is from RNAcentral.